This 679-nucleotide ribosomal RNA is filed under the name Salmonella enterica. RNAcentral describes it as "partial 23S ribosomal RNA". It matches the Rfam family "Bacterial large subunit ribosomal RNA", at positions 1 to 609 of the family's 2925-position model. Lineage: Bacteria; Pseudomonadati; Pseudomonadota; Gammaproteobacteria; Enterobacterales; Enterobacteriaceae. The record is from RNAcentral.
GGGUUGUGAGGUUAAGCGACUAAGCGUACACGGUGGAUGCCCUGGCAGUCAGAGGCGAUGAAGGACGUGCUAAUCUGCGAUAAGCGCCGGUAAGGUGAUAUGAACCGUUAUAACCGGCGAUUUCCGAAUGGGGAAACCCAGUGUGACUCGUCACACUAUCAUUAACUGAAUCCAUAGGUUAAUGAGGCGAACCGGGGGAACUGAAACAUCUAAGUACCCCGAGGAAAAGAAAUCAACCGAGAUUCCCCCAGUAGCGGCGAGCGAACGGGGAGGAGCCCAGAGCCUGAAUCAGCAUGUGUGUUAGUGGAAGCGUCUGGAAAGGCGCGCGAUACAGGGUGACAGCCCCGUACACAAAAGCGCAUGUGUUGUGAGCUCGAUGAGUAGGGCGGGACACGUGGUAUCCUGUCUGAAUAUGGGGGGACCAUCCUCCAAGGCUAAAUACUCCUGACUGACCGAUAGUGAACCAGUACCGUGAGGGAAAGGCGAAAAGAACCCCGGCGAGGGGAGUGAAAAAGAACCUGAAACCGUGUACGUACAAGCAGUGGGAGCCCCACCACUAAGCCAGUGGUGAACUCCACAUACGCAUCCUUUGCUGAAGGUGCGGUUAACGGAGCGCAAGCGACGUUCAACCUCAAAAGAAGCAGAGGGGGCUUAGUGGUGGGGUGACUGCGUACCUUUU